This 12982-nucleotide non-coding RNA is filed under the name Cordylochernes scorpioides. Lineage: Eukaryota; Metazoa; Arthropoda; Arachnida; Pseudoscorpiones; Chernetidae. The record is from RNAcentral.
UAUAAUCAUGUUUGUUAGUUAUUCUAUUUAUGAUGAAGUGUUGAAGCUAGUUUCAAAUCUAUGUUUUUUAUGACUGAGUUUAUUCCUGAUGUGAUUGUUCUGAAUGAGAAUGGUGUUUUGUGUAAUUUAGGAAUAAUAUAAAAUUUCGGUAGGUUUGUGGUUUUGUUGUAAUUUAUAAUUUUUAGUGAGUUUUCUACAUUUUUAAUAUCUUUCUUAAUUUUAGUUUCAGUUGUUCUUACGAAAGUGUAUUUACAAUUGUUAUUAAUUAGAAGGUCAUGAUAUAAAUUUUUACAUAUGAUAGAUAAAUUACACUGGUCAACAAGAUUUUUGCACAAGAGAACCUGAUUAUGUUUCUAGUGUAACUUUUCAUGCUGAACUCAAAAAUCUAAUCAGAAAUUUCCUAUCACCUAUGGUUUUUGCGUUACGGUCUUUUUUAGUAUUGGGAUAAAUACAGUUUUGCACAACCCUUAUUACAUUACACUGGUUUAUCAAAAAAUAUUUUUUUUGUCCACAAAGAAAUAGCAUCUUAUCUACAUGUCCUGAAUCCAAAUAUACCAUUAGUUUUUUUCUAUUACGUAAUAUUUCUGAGAUACACCUACUUGAAAUUUGGAAAUAUUGUUAAUAUAUAGGCAUAUAUGAACGAAACAUAUUUAUUUAUUGAAAAGCAGUGACAGUGGAUUUUCUUCUAUACUUUGCUUGUGGUAGAUCCCUCUUGAGUGUCCAGCAGUAGUCGGCAAGCAUAGCGGGACUCCAUUUACCUUGGUACCGCUUCUCCAUGCUUGAUAUAUCUUGAUGAAACCUCUCACCAUGCUCAUCGCUAACUGCGCCAAGAUUGUCUGGAAAGAAAUAUAGAUCUGAAUGCAGGAAAUGGAUCUUGAGGGACAUGUUACAUCCUAGUGCCUUGUAGGAAAGCAACAGAUCAUUAACUAUGUCUCGGUAAUUUUCAACCUUGACACUUCCUAAGAAGAUUUUGCAAACCUUCCUAAAGGAAUUCCAUGCUGCUGCUUCAACUUCAUUCAAACUAUUUAGAAAAUUUCCAUUUUGCUGCAAUUCUCGAAUCUGAGGUCCAACGAAAAUGCCUUCUUUAAUCUUCGCUUCACUUAUUCUAGAAAAUUUUUGUUUUAGGUAGGCAAAUCCACUGGCAUUUCGAUCCAUUGCCUUGACAAAGUUUUUCAUUAAUCCCAGUUUAAUAUGUAAUGGUGGUAAGUAAAUAAUUUCUGAAUCGAUCUGGGGUAGAUUUGCAAUAUUUUUAUAUCCUGGAGUAAAUAUUUAAUGGUUUGGCCAGAUUUUUUUAAUGUAAUGCCUUUCCCUAUCUCUGCUAUCCCACUCACACAGAAAACAACAAAAUUUUGUAUAUCCAAGCUGUAAUCCACGCAAGAGAGCAACGACUUUCAAAUCGCUGCAUAUUUUCCAACCGUAUCUUUCAUAUUCUAUCUUUUUCAAAAGCAGUUUCAUUUAUUAUGGCAUAUAUAUUCAUAUAUUUAUAUAUAUUUAUCCCAAUACUAAAAAAAGACCAUCAGGCAAAAACCAUGUGUGAUGGGAAAUUUCUGAUUAGAUUUUUGAGUUCAGCAUGAAAAGUUACACUAGAAACACCAUCAGGUUCUCUUGUGCAAAAAAAAAAAGUUUUUUUUUGUAGACCUGUGUUAUUUGAACAUUUAUCUAUUGGACAUAUGAUAAAAUAUUUUUGUAGGCCUUCAAAAGUGUCUUUCAAUAUACCUUCUACCUGUCUAAUUAUAUCAUAUUAAUUAAUGGUUAAUUCUGUAUAGCUUGGAAUAUGGUCUACAAAUGAUUCAGGUAAUAUUGAAUUUGUAGAUGCACUAUCUAUAAAUUUCUAUUUUGAAAGUUUGUACCUCUUGUCAACUAGUAUUUGAAGGUCCAGCAUCACUUGGUGUAGCAGCCUGGUGUGGGUUGGAGCUCUUCAAAGCAUGGCAUGGUUGUCCUUGCUGAGUUGGUGGUGGUGUAUAAAAACUUGGAGGAUGGGUGGAGAAUGGAGCUGGUGAGCUCCUGGAGGAUGAACCCGGGUUGGGGGGCUGCGGUAUGGGCCCACUGUAUGGUAGUGCCACUGCGACUGUACCUCGCAGAUUCCACACAGAGAAUCUUGUCAGCCACAAUGGGACAUGUGGCUCGACCACCAAGAAGGGGUUUCUAUCUCUGACCAGCUUGGUGUUGGUGGGGUCAGGUCAUCCACCACAGGUCAGAUGGCUUGACCACAAGUAAGGGGCAUCUGAGUCCAUCUUGGACUCUGGUUAGGGUUGGCUUGCGGCAAAGUCUCGGACCUUCUCUCCAACCUUCUGCCUGCAGGAGAAGAAUUGGCUCCGCAUCUCUCUGGUGGAGAUUUUUUUUUUUAAACCUUCUUCCCAGGCUCUCCUUCAACUCUUUAUAUCUCAACCGAAUCUGUUGAGACUGGAGGGCAAACCCCCUUGGAGCUCGUGGUGGAGUUGGUGUUCUGCCUGAAGAUGGUGAUUUUAACACCCACCAUGGGCUUGUGGCUUGCCCAUAGGCAUGCUGGAGUCUGGCUUGACUACAGGGAAGGGGUGUCUGAGUCCAUCUUGGACUCUGGCUUGGGUUCAAGUCAGCCACAAUGGGACAUGUGGUUCGACCACCAGAAAGCUCAGACCUGCUUGGUAGGGCCAGGUCAUCCAUCACAGGUCAGGUGGCUUGACCACAGGAAGGGGUGUCUGAGUCUAUCUUGGACUCUUGCUUGUUUCUGGCCAUCUUUGUCCAUGUUGGAGCACCAAGAAGGAGUUGUCAUAUUAGGACAAAAAUUGGUGUACACAGUGUGGCAAAUAAUUUUUAAGAAUGGGUUUGUAAAAUAAAAUUGAAACAAGCUAAUUCAAUUUCUACUAUUUUUUUAUUCAAAAUAAUCCCCUCCGGAUUCAAUACAUAUGUUACAACGAUUUAAUAAGAAAUUAAAUGCCUCUUGCAGGCCACUUUGAGGAAUCGCCUCCAAAGUGCUUGUCGCAGCUGUCUGGAUGGUCUGGAUAUCAUAAAAAAAAAACAACCUUUCAACUUCAAUUUUAUUUUUGGGAAUAAUUGCUAAUAGCACUACUAAACCACCCAUGGGUUGUGGAUCAUCACGGAUAUCCUGUAAUGUCCGAUCAAGGGCUUCCAAGGCAAUUUUAUGGGCCAUGGUGCACUCAUCCCAAACCAGCAACUUACAGCUAUGUAAGAGUGAACCUUUAUCACUAUUUUUUCGUAUAUUGCAAACAGCAGUCUGGCCCUCUGCAAAAAGUAAUUUCAGCACUGAAUGUGCAGUUCUUCCGCUCGCAAGCAAUGUCGCAGCUAUCCCUGAGGAAGCAACAGCAAUGGCAAUAUUUUGUUCCUUCCUAACCAUUGCUAAUAGAAGAUUCAAAAGAAAUGUUUUACCUGUUCCCCCCGGCGCAUCUAAAAAUAUAAUUAUGGGUUGUGACAAAUUAAUUCUUGCUAAAACAGCAUCAAAAACUCUUCUUUGUUCUGGCAAGAGUUUGGGAAUCAUGGAUGCAACAUUGUCUUCAAGUUCUGCGUAUCAUACGCAAGUUCUCUCAAAAUGUCAGAAUUGGUAACCACAUUUCUCCUGGGUGCUCCUAAGCCUAAUUCCUGCAGUUUCUUCCCACAUAUAGAUACGACACGAUCCUCAAUGUUACACAAUGUUUCAUUAUACAUCAGAUCAUUAUACCUGAUCAUAUCUGUUCAUAAAAUAUGAUAAAUAUGAUUUAAAAUAAAUGCAUUUUUCCCCUAUGCACUAUGCUAAGCAGUGACCAACACUCAGGCAAAGGGAGAAACAAAACAAACUAGUUCCUCACGCCCACUUCCUGGUCUGUGGUGACCUCCUGUAGCAUGCCGUCUCCUUGAAGAUGUCCAUGGGGUUCUGGACCUGGGGUAGGGUUGGCUUGUACUCCAGGCUGCAUACUACAAUUAUUGUACAAAUAUUGAGAUCUGAUGUAUUAUUUGGAAUAUUUAUGGUAAUGUCCUCAUAGUACAAAUAUUGAGAUCUGAUGUAUUAUUUGGAAUAUUUAUGGUAAUGUCCUCAUAGUACAAAUAUUGAAGUCUGAUGUAUUAUUUGGAAUAUUUAUGGUAAUGUCCUCAUAGUACAAAUAUUGAGGUCUGAUGUAUUAUUUGGAAUAUUUAGGUAAUGUCCUCAUAGUACAAACAUUGAGGUCUGAUGUAUUAUUUGGAAUAUUUAUGGUAAUGUCCUCAUAGUACAAAUAUUGAGGUCUGAUGUAUUAUUUGGAAUAUUUAUGGUAAUGUCCUCAUAGUACAAAUAUUUGAUUUAUAAAUGCUACGUCACCCUCCUCUUUAUUUCUAUAUUUUCUGAUGAUAUUGUAGUUUUUAUAUUUGAGUUUGUAUUUUUCAUUUAAUUUGGGGUUUACUGUAGAGCUAUAAUUUGUACCUUGUGUUUGUCAGCUAUUUCCAUUAUUUCUUGUAAUUUUAUUUUUGUUGCCGUUGAGCACAUUCCAUUUAUGUUGCACUGCAAAAUGCUUAAUUAUUUGGAAGCUGCAAAUUUUAGAGUUUGUGUGGACUGUGACUGUAUUAAACUUAUCGGACAGAACCCUCUACCAAUUAAUUGAAGGAAAGACUGAACGCAGUGCCAAAAAUUGAGAUGAGAAUGGUGGUGUUCUUUACAUUUGACAAGCUUCUUAUACACAAGGGGUUUAAUUCAUAUUGGGGCUUGUGUGAGGAUUUCACGAUGGGUUGAAUGUUGAACAUAGAACAAACCUGUGUCUGUUUACAGGGUAAAGCUAUUUGAUUUAUAAGAACAGAGAAUAAUAAUAUUGUUCUACCUGCAUUUUUGUUCUAGCUGCAUUUUUCGGUGAUAAUAUUGGGUGACUGUUUCAUUUUCUUGUUGUAUGAUUUUCAUCAUUUCAACCAAUGGUGUAAGUUUGGCUUUCUGGUAUCUAGUUAUAAGGUUUUCUUUGAGUUUAUUCCAGUCCCCAAUAUGGCAAAGGCUUUUGAAGUAAUAGGUUAAAGCCUCAUCCUGUAAGUAAUCCGAUAAAUGAAGUACCUUCCAACUAUUAUCAAACCCAUAAGAAUCACUUUUUCUUUCAAAAUUUAUAAUCCAAGUUUUAAUAUUUAAAUUAUUAUUGUAUUUUACAAAAGACGACAUCACCUGAUAUGCAAAUUCAACAUCUUUUUCUCUUUUUGCUUUUGCCAUUAUUUCACAAGUUCCAAAUAAAUUGAUAUAAAAUUUAAUAAAAAUUAGGUAAAUUCUGUCGACUUAUUUGUUAUGAUUAAUUUUUUGUGUUUUGUUGUUGAAAAGAGGUCCAGUCGUGGAAAAGUAAAUAUAAUUAUUUACCUUUCAAGUAGAUUUUAUUUUGAAUUACUUGAAGUAAAAAUACACAUAAAAUUAUUUAUCACUGCAAUAUAGAAUUUAUACAAUGAAUUCUAUAAUCGUGAUUUUAAUUAAAAAAGGUAGGGUAACUAUACAUAUUUAUAACGAUAAUAAUUAAAGUGGGUAUUUUUUGAAUCUAUGGUCAAGUAUGUCUUCGCUCAUACUCUCUUUAUGCUUCUCCCAUAGGCCUCUUGGGUCUGAAGGCGAGCAGGUUGUCAAAAUGAUAGCAAACAGAGUUUGUAUUUGCUUAGGAUGACAUGUUUCAGAUGCUUCUGCCAGUGUGUUGUCCCAAUGCUGAUCAUUUUUAAGCAGACCAAGCUUGAAGCAUGCCUCUCUAUAUGUCUGACAGAUUUGGCCGUUGACGGUUUUGAUAGCUUCGAACGAUUUCGGUCCUUUGACUAUACAUGAAGCAGCAUUCGCAAAUAGUAGCAUUCAGCAUUGCUCGGAUGGACAGUAUACACUUGCCCCAAUGCGCCAGUGGAAAACACCUGAACCAUUGAAGAGUGCAGCAUGCCUUGUUUUCUCCAUUGCCACUUCUUCGUUGACUGAUUCCAUGUGUAAUACGUCGGAACCUCAUGAUACAGCAAUGUUGCAGCGAAUGUGUCACUGGCACACAAUUGAAAAAAUGCAGUCAACAUUGUAUUGGGUGGAUUUUCAGCUCGCUGGGCCGCGCUCUCUUCUGUGAAGUAUACUCGUUGACCAUUUUCCAAAUGCACACUGAGAUGGACGACAGCAGGAGAGCGUUCGUGGAUGUCAAAGCCAAGGAUUUGCCAUACAGCUUCAUUGCUGCUGAUAUAACGUCCCAUUUGAAACUGGUCGAUUUCAUUGACGGGUGCAUUUGGAUUUUUGAAGUCCAAAAACUGCCAUAUCACUGCCCUUAUUCACGUAUUUACAAAUGUAUUUGAUCGAUUUGACAGAAUUGCAAUACUCCACGUUGAUAUGCGCAUCAAAUGCUUUCGAGAGCAAAGGAGAGUAAGGCACAAUCCACUGGUUAUCAACCUCAAAAUCAACGUGAUUGAGUUUGAUUGUUGCUGUGUGGCCACCAUCCUCUGGUUUUCGUCGUCUGUACAGAGGAUAACCGUCGCCACCAGUUUGUGUGUCAUGCACCAGGUCUCUUGGAUACUUUUUGGUGCAUUUGCCGUCCUUUAUGCACGGUGAAUGUGGGUUUUGCGCUCCACACGGUCCGUGAAUCAUAUAUUUCUUGAUAAUCUGGUACAAUUAAGGAUCUUCUUGUGGAUCUGGCAGCUCAGCAGAAAUGAUAUUAUCGAUUUGAGUUGGAAGAAUUUUUUCCUCCAACCAAAUCAAGAUGUGAGCAUGUGGAGUGCCUCUUUUUUGCCAUUCGAUGGAAUACAUCCAGCAGCGUGUUGGACCGUAUAUAUGGUUCUUAACGAUGAGAUCAAUAAAACAUUUCAAUUUCUGUUUGAAAACUCUCGCUGUGAGGUCAUGCCGAUGAGAUGACUGUUGGCCAGGCAGAAGUAGAUUUUUGAUUUCGGCCCAUGCUGGAUUGCAAGUGAAUGUGAGGAAAAGAUCUGGACGUCCAUAUGUGCGAACAUAAGUCAUAGCAUCCUGAGCAUAUUCAUGCAUAUGUCUCGGACUUCCAGUGUACGAAGCUGGAAGUAUGACCAUUUGCCCAAUGUUCGCAGCAGCAGCGGCUCCAUCAUUCGCGAUUGCAUCCCGCAAAUGAAUGUAUUGGUCAGCUCGAAGCUUUGACUGAUUGAAGUGAAUGUAGUUGAGACGUUCGCUUUCGACUUUGGCAUACAUGUCAACGAUGAAUUGUUGGAAAAGUUGACGACACUUCAGGAUGGGGUUGGAUUCUUGGGCUCGAAUCAUGAUGCGAUAUGCAUAGAAGUCCAUACAGCUGACUUUUUCAUUGUCACGGCGCCUGAGAUAGGAUGAACUUGAUACAGUUCGAGAUGAUAUCCGUCUUCACCGCGCGGAAAAAGUAUUGGAUAUUGAAGGGCGUCGUACGAUCGGUGCGUUUCAGCAACACGUUGCUUGGUUCCAUCUCGUCUGCAGAUAACAAUAUCUCGUCGGGCGAUCUCUGUACCGACAAUCACAGCUGCUACUUCAGGAGUCAUCGGAGCAUUGAAGCGUCGUUCAUGCUCAUUCGUCGGCGUCUUGUCUGCCCUGAUGAUGAAUUUCAUAUCAUCUGCUCGCACAUUCUCUACUGCGGAUUUGAAAUCUCGGACCAAACAGUUGUGCUCGUGGAAUAGCGUUUGUAAUUCAGCGAUGAUUGCCCGCCUUGUUGCUUCACUGAAUGCGCAUCGUCGAUCAAUCUCCUCCUCCACGUUGUCCAUGAAAUAAAUCUGCAAAAACCUCGGAUCUUCAUUGGGUACUGGAAGAAGUGAACAAUGAAGAAAAUAUGGUAAAUUUUCUGUCCAUCAAAUAGACGCGGAAUUUAUCCACACUCUCAACGAUUGCUAGGCAUUCUAAUUCAGAGCUGGAGUAGUUCCGUUCAUGUGAACGCAGGGAGCGGCUGAAGUAUUGGACUGGGUAGGUCUUCCCAUUGGGGUGGGCCUGUUUAAGGAUGCCUGCUAUGCCGAGGGUUGAUGCGCUACAGUACACUUGGCAUGGCAGACCUUCCUGGUAAAUUUGUAAAGUGGGGUGUGUGGUGUGUCUUUCAGGCUAGUGAACGCUUUCUGGCAUUUAUCAUCCUAAACCCACGUGACAUCCUUUUUGAGAAGGUUGUUAAGUGGCGUCCGUAAGCGGGCGUAGUCCGAGACGAAUUCUUUAUAAGCGUUCACAGCGCUUAAGAAGGAUCGCAAUGUUUUGCGAUCGUGUGGUUGUUGGAUAGCGUGAAUUGUUUCUAUGUUUCGUGUUAGUGGUGUGGUGGUACUAUCAGUAAUGGUGCAUGUGUUUGAGUUGUGUUUCUGUCGCCUUUUUGUGCGAGUGUCGCGCUUGUUGCGAUGUUUACGCGUGUGACUGUGAUGAUGUGUGGUCAUUGGUGUACCUAGUGUGAGAGUUGUUCUGUUGGAUGGACACUGGUUGGGCAAUUUUGGGGUGAGUUUGGGCUAUUGUGGCAUUGUGCAUUGAGAGCAUAUAAUAAGGACAAUUGGCCUUAGUGAAAUAAUUGUGUUGUGCGUGCGCGUGACUACGAGGGUGAGUAGAAAAGUAAGGUCUCCUAUUUUUUUUUUUCAUAGAAAAACACAUUUAAUCACAACCUUUUAUACAUCAUUGGAAAGGUUGGACACUUUGCUAUUUUUCUACAUAGUCGCCUUGAUGCUCAAUCACUUUUUUCAUCCUGUCAACCAACUUUGUAAUUCCGGUGUUGUACCACUCUCCCGCCGCCUCUUUGAGCCACUUGUCGACCUCUUCUUUCACCUCGUUGUCUGACGCAAAUUUCUGUCCCCCAAGGUGUUUUUUGAGCGCUGGAAACAUAUGGUAAUCGCUGGGGGCCAAAUCGGGACUGUACGGAGGGUGUCCAAAGAUAUCCCAACCGAAUUCUUCAAGUUUUGCGGUCGUUUGGCGUGAGACAUGUGGGUUGGCAUUGUCGUGAAGCAAAACCACUCCCUUGGUGAGUCGUCCCUGUCGUUUGUUCUGUAUGGCUCGCCGCAGCUUGGUGAGAGUCUCGCAGUAUCUUUCGGAGUUGAUUGUUUCUCCUUUGUGCAGGUAAUCCACCAGCAGAACCCCCUUCCUGUCCCAAAACACAAUUGCCAUAACCUUUCCCGCAGACAGCAUUGUCUUGAACUUUUUGGGCUUUGGUGAGGUCGUGUGACGCCACUGUUUUGAUUGUACUUUCGUUUCGGGGGUAUAAUGAUGUGCCCACGCUGUAUUUAUCUGUGUUGUAAAUUUCUUCCAUAAUUAAGUCAUGAUAUAAAUUUUUGCAGGUAAUUGAGAAGUUGUUGGAGAAUUUAUCAAUUGGAGUAAUAAUAUAAUCUUCUUGGAUAUUGUUGAUGUUUUCUUUUAAUGUUUGAAGGAGAAGUUUUUUUCACAUUUUAGAGUAUUGUGGUAGUAUUCCUUGAUUUGUUUGAUAAUUUCAAAUUUCCAAUUAAAGAAGGUAAAUUCAGGUAUCUUAGGCUUGUUCUAAUAAAUUAAGAUCUUGGUUGAUGGAAUUAACCGUGUUGUAAUUGUGGUUAAUCGGAAGUAUAAAUUUAUAGCUGUUGUUAAGCAUAAGUUGUAAUUCUUUAUUUAAGAAUGAAAAGUCACUAGUUAUAAUAUGACCCUUAAUUGCAAUUAUUAGGCGUUACUGUAACUUCCUGGUACAGCCGCUUGGGAAGUGACUCCAAGCGCUGCGGUCCUUCUGGGAGAGUUUUUCUGAGCAAUGUGUUUCUACUCUUUUGAAGAGAGCUUUAACUACUCAAAUUUUAUGAUGUACUGUGCCAAAAGAAUUGAAAUUUAAGUAAUUUCCUGUGUGGAUUGAUUUUCUAAAAAUUAUUCUUUCAUUUUGGUUAUGCUUUCUUUCAAGUUGGAUAUCUAAAAAUGCUAAAUAAUUAUUAUUUUCAUGUGUGAGUCAAUUACAGAGGGUGUUCACACUUAUAGGGGGGGAAACAAGUUUUAUUAUAAAAUAUUAAAAAUUAACACCAUAUUUGUAAAAUUUCAAAUGUUCUAUUUGAAAACCUUUUUGCUUAUUUACAGAACGGCACCUGAUUUUCCACGAUAGCAGACACUUUCUGAUCAUGGUCAUACUCAAAAGAUCCCAUUCUUUCUUUACCACUUUCCAGAGACCUUCAAUUGUCUUAGGGUGUCUUUCCAAGUGCUCUUUUAAGGCAUCCAAAAAUGCAAAAAUCUAUCGGGGCUAAAUCAGGAGAUUUUACAGGGAUUCUGUUCUUUGGAAUAGUGUUGAUUCCUGUUCUUUGCCUUAGAUCUUCCAAAUAAUCUUGGGUUGAAGAUGAGGUAUGACUUGUGGCGUUAUCAUGGUGAAACCAGACUUUGUUGCUCUGUUUUCCAUAGAUAGAGGGAAUUCAUUUAAAAAUAUAGGUUCUAAAAUGUUGUUUUGAUAUUACUCCUAGUUUAUUUUGGCAUUUCUUUCAACUUUUCUUAUUUUUAAUUUUCCUUCAUAUGAUAUACCGCAUGCCACCAUAAAUCCUUUUGGGUAACUUUCGGCACAUUCCUUCAACCAAAUUGGCCUAGAUUUUUCCACCCUUUUUUGAUAGUAUAUAGCUCUUUUUCUGUCGCAAUUGGUUAAAUAUACCCAUGCUUUGUCAUAUGUAACAAUAAAUUUCCAUCUAUCAGCAGCCAAGAAAUUUUCAUAAAAAUAUCUGCUGAUAGUGUGUCGCUGACGAAUAUGGCUCUGAAACAAUUUGUGAACCGCAUGUUUUUUUGUAGCUUUUAGGCCUGUGGUUUUGUGGAGUGCUGCACUCCACACACCUCAUUUCCCUUUUUGAGGCAAACUCUGGACUUGAAUCUGGCUGGUUGAUGGAUUGCAAGGUUCUUGAAUGUUUUCCACCAUGUGUACCCCUUGUUCUUGGUACGGUCCAACUUGUAAUAAAGCUGGGCCAUGGACACUCGAUAGAGAGCGUCGACACUAAAUUGUGCGUAGCGCACUGGUGACAGUAGUCCUUGGGUGGAGACUGCGUCGAAACCAAUGCCUCUGAUGGUGAUGGGCACGGCGUAUUCAGUUGGGGUCUGCUUUUCAGCGGCCGCCAACACAGGAGGAGCUUAGAUGAAGAGCCUGCUCUCCAAUUCUUUCUUGAGAUCAGACAUAAGUUCAGCGUUCUUCUUUUCACGAAAUUGGAGACUGCGCUGAGUUCGCUUUUCUUCAUUCUUCUUCUUCAGGGCCUGUGGAUGGAAGGCACUCCUGGGGUUAUCACAUUUCUUGGGGGGAGGAGGAGAGGUGAAUUAAAUUCACGUGAAUCCUCACGAUCAUAACGUUGAUGGGGACGGUCGAUUGCGCUCUCGAUGAUAAGCCAUAUAUACAUACAUCAUCAUAUUGUUGAGUUCCCGUUUUUAGACCAAUGGGAAUGGAGCAUGUAAGGAGUGACUUAGUAAAAUUUCCUUAUUAAGAUAUACAAGUGUGACAUAGAAAUAGACAAAUAUAGGACUUAAACAGCUAAGGUUAUACUUGAGGAGAUAGAAUAUCAGAUAAUAUAUAGGGUACAGAAGGAUUUGAGGACUACGCAACCCCAAGUGAAAACUUUCUUCCAUGCCAGGAGUGGGAGGGAUCCCCAAAGGAGGCCCAAAAUCGGGAGGCCCGUUGACAGGUCCUUCCUGGAAUGUAUAGGGCGUCGGGAAGGUCUAUGGAAUGUGGAGUUCCAACAUCCACCCCCCCUUUUUUCCUUCUUCUUCUGCGAAAGAGAUAAUGGCGGGCCCCCCCAAAGAGGGCUCAGCUAUCCCUUUAUGAGACUUCUGGAAUAAUGUCCUUCCUUGACUUUAUUCGCGAAAGCUAGUACGACUUAUUCUUUACUAUCCUCCCUCAAUACCCUUGUCUAGCACCAAUCUCUUCCAGAAUUAUCCAUAGUCAAUUUGUGGCAUAUACUGUGCAACAUCCAUGAAGUCAUUAUUGAUUAGACAAUCUAUAAAGACACCUUCUGGCGAUUUAGCAACCCACUGGAGACGCUGGGAACUAUUUCAGAGAGGGAAAUCAUAGCAAUAGAUCUCUAUAAUUUCUACAGACCAAUUGUAAAUAGAUCCAUACACAAAAGAUAUAGUGCGGAAAGUUUAGGACAGAUGUGUAAAGAGAUUCCUCAUUAAACUACGGCUCACAUGUACUUGUGAAGAAAGGAGGGAAACAUUGAAUUAUUCUCGUUCAUACACUAAAUUAAAUGAUCUAUGAAGUAAUGGUCGGCUCUCCCAUCAAAAUAGACGCUGGAAUUGAUCGCCAUCCAUUGGCCGCCUCUACAGACCAACGGACUCGGGUCCGUGACACGCCCAUUUUGUGUCAAAUUCCCUGAGAUCAUCCAACAACUUUAAGGGAUCUCAGAUAGAGAUGAACCUGUUGUUAUUAGAAACUAUAAACCUGAAUAUAAGACCAAAUUAACAAUUUCUAUAGAAGUAUAAUAUGUUGGAAUCAUUAUUUCAAAAUUAGAUAUCAAGAAGUACCAGGUUCAGAUUUUUAUUAGUAAUAAGAUCUGCUUAAACAUAUAGGUAUCCUUUUAAUCCCGAUUUUUAUAACUAAGAUUCAACAAAAUGCGUUGAAUUAGGUUACUAUCUGGAUAUAUGGAAAGGACUCUAUUUGUAAAGAUUAUACCAAAAUCCAACAAAAUAAGCUAUAAAAACAAGCAAGACUUAUACUAUUGACAAUGACAUUUGUAAUAUAUUUAAAACAAAAAGGGUUUCAAUAACAUCAUGAGGGGAACAAAACCAAUGAGUGAUAAGGCAACAUGGGUCUUUACUAAGAUUAAAUCAACGAAUAAUAUAAUGGUAAGUAUGAUGGAAAAACACACUGAAACACAGGCAGGAGAGCUGGCCUAUUUAAUCACUGAGGGCAUGACUGGCACUUUCGACAGUACAUGUGGUCAGCAAUUUAUUGGAAGGCUUGAUUGUUAGUAACAUUCACUCCAAAUAGGUAAUAAAAUUAGGGGGAUAUAUGUACAUAUGGUACAGCAGCUCCCAGCACGGAUGUCUCUGGAUGUCACUCGUGUCUUCCUCUCCACCAGGCAUCAGCUUUCGGCAUGGAAGUCUGGUGUCCUCAAGUGUCUAGUUUUAUUUGUACGUGUGCUCUUUGUACACCCUUCGUCUCGGCCCUUCUGCAGCGGGCUUUGGGUCUUUAGAGCACCGUCGGCCAUCGUUGGGAGU